GGCUAUCUGACGAGUCCCAAAUAGGAGGAAAUGCGCGUCUUGGAU
Schistosoma rodhaini is the source of this 45-nucleotide non-coding RNA. The record is from Rfam. Lineage: Eukaryota; Metazoa; Platyhelminthes; Trematoda; Strigeidida; Schistosomatidae.